AUGAACGCUAGCGACAGGCUUAACACAUGCAAGGUCGAGGGGUAACAGGGUAGCAAUACCGCUGACGACCGGCGCACGGGUGAGUAACGCGUAUGCAACCUGCCUAGUAACUGGGGGAAUAGCUCCCUGAAAGGGGAAUUAACACCGCAUAACACUAUUGAUUCGCAUGGAUUAGUAGUUAAAUGUAGCGAUACAGGUUAUAGAUGGGCAUGCGUGACAUUAGCUAGUUGGUGAGGUAACGGCUCACCAAGGCUACGAUGUCUAGGGGUUCUGAGAGGAAGGUCCCCCCACACUGGUACUGAGACACGGACCAGACUCCUACGGGAGGCAGCAGUGAGGAAUAUUGGUCAAUGGGCGCAAGCCUGAACCAGCCAUGUCGCGUGCAGGAAGACUGCCCUAUGGGUUGUAAACUGCUUUUAUAGCAGAAGAAACACAUCUACGCGUAGAUGUCUGCCAGUAUACUAUGAAUAAGCAUCGGCUAACUCCGUGCCAGCCGCCGC
RNAcentral lists this ribosomal RNA (500 nucleotides) under uncultured bacterium. Its description in RNAcentral is "bacterial SSU rRNA". It matches the Rfam family "Bacterial small subunit ribosomal RNA", at positions 29 to 518 of the family's 1533-position model. The record is from RNAcentral.